This 94-nucleotide transfer RNA is filed under the name Ralstonia solanacearum. RNAcentral's name for it is "tRNA-Ala". Lineage: Bacteria; Pseudomonadati; Pseudomonadota; Betaproteobacteria; Burkholderiales; Burkholderiaceae. The record is from RNAcentral. RNAcentral also lists the same sequence under 1 other name.
GGGGCGGCCGUGGCGGCCGGCGCCAGCGCGCCGCUGGCGGCGCUGCUGGGCGGCUGGCAGCCCGCGCUGGCGUUCUGGGCGCUGCCCGCCCUGC